This 698-nucleotide ribosomal RNA is filed under the name Rhizoctonia solani. Its description in RNAcentral is "eukaryotic LSU rRNA". The stretch from base 254 to 407 matches the Rfam family "5.8S ribosomal RNA". The record is from RNAcentral. Lineage: Eukaryota; Fungi; Basidiomycota; Agaricomycetes; Cantharellales; Ceratobasidiaceae.
CCUUUAGGGACUGCGGAGGACAUUAUUGAAUUAAUGUAGAGUUUGGUUGUAGCUGGCUCCUAAUUAAACUUGGGGGCAUGUGCACACCUUUCUCUUUCAUCCCAUACACACCUGUGCACCUGUGAGACAGAUGUUUUGUGGGGGGGAAGGAACUUUAUUGGACCUUCUACUCCCCCUUGACUUCUGUCUACUUAAUUCAUAUAAACUCAAUUUAUUUUAAAACGGAUGUAAUGGAUGUAACACAUCUAAUACUAAGUUUCAACAACGGAUCUCUUGGCUCUCGCAUCGAUGAAGAACGCAGCGAAAUGCGAUAAGUAAUGUGAAUUGCAGAAUUCAGUGAAUCAUCGAAUCUUUGAACGCACCUUGCGCUCCUUGGUAUUCCUUGGAGCAUGCCUGUUUGAGUAUCAUGAAAUCUUCAAAGUCAAACCUUUUGUUAAUUCAAUUGGUUCUGCUUUGGUAUUGGAGGAUUAUUGCAGCUUCACACCUGCUCCUCUUUGUGCAUUAGCUGGAUCUCAGUGUUAUGCUUGGUUCCACUCAGCGUGAUAAGUUAUCUAUCGCUGAGGACACCCUGUUAAAAAGGGGUGGCCAAGGUAAAUGCAGAUGAACCGCUUCUAAUAGUCCAUUGACUUGGACAAUAUCUAAUUUAUGAUCUGAUCUCAAAUCAGGUAGGACUACCCGCUGAACUUAAGCAUAUCAAA